Molecule: ribosomal RNA, 307 nt
Filed under: uncultured bacterium
Lineage: Bacteria
Description: bacterial SSU rRNA
Rfam family: Bacterial small subunit ribosomal RNA
Source: RNAcentral
AUUGAACGCUGGCGGAAUGCUUUACACAUGCAAGUCGAACGGCAGCACGGGGGCAACCCUGGUGGCGAGUGGCGAACGGGUGAGUAAUACAUCGGAACGUGCCCAGUCGUGGGGGAUAACUACGCGAAAGCGUAGCUAAUACCGCAUACGAUCUACGGAUGAAAGCGGGGGAUCGCAAGACCUCGCGCGAUUGGAGCGGCCGAUGGCAGAUUAGGUAGUUGGUGGGGAAAGCUCACCAAGCCGUCGAUCUGUAGCUGGUCUGAGAGGACGACCAGCCACACUGGGACUGAGACACGGCCCAGACUCC